AGCUUUAUGAGGCACAUCUUGAUUCUCAUUAUGAGAUAAUAAAAGGACUUAGGACUUGGCACUAGGUUGAAAGGAGCAGGCAGAGUUCUCCCUUCAUCAAAGUAAGAAAGCCAGAGCUUCGCUCGGGCAAACUUCCACUCCACAUCUGCGUCUUCCUGUGAAACAAAGGAAUCGGUCACACACCAGAGGCCACAGCUUAACAUCUGAGCAGAGUGUGAAGGGACCAGGUCCACAGUGUUUGAGCAGAUCGCUGGGCAGGACUGGUGUGCUGUGGGCCCCCGGCUGACACCAAUGAGGUCACGUGGAACACAUGCAGGACCAACCAUCUGCAUUUCAGUUAGGGAGGAUGGCUCCGAUCCAGUGUGUAUGAUUGAUCACUGUGAAGUUUGCCUCUGAGCCCUCAUCUAGUCCCAGCUCCUUCAUGCGGGCAUUCUGUCUAUAACAAGAAGGAAGCAGAGAGGCCCAUCUAGCAGACUGUGUUAUGGGCAGUCAAGAAUGCCAGCGUCACCUGAGUGGAGCUCUCUGAAGACCUCAGGAUUCUUGGAGGCAGCAGCCUUAAGUGUUACCAACUCCCAUGAAACCCAUUUCAAACUCGUAUGAUCAAUGUAUGACUGCCUCUUUUAAGAACCUAUCUCACCCUGAGAAAGAGUGCUGAAUUAAAACAGGUCAUACCUUUGUGCAGAA
Peromyscus maniculatus bairdii (prairie deer mouse) is the source of this 684-nucleotide non-coding RNA. Lineage: Eukaryota; Metazoa; Chordata; Mammalia; Rodentia; Cricetidae. The record is from RefSeq and is a predicted model, not a curated record.